UUUCCGUAGGUGAACCUGCGGAAGGAUCAUUAAAGAGUAAGGGUCUUCGGGCCCGAUCUCCAACCCUUUGUUUAACUACCAUGUUGCUUUGGCGGGCCCGUCUCACGACCGCCGGCAGUUUGGCUUCGACCAAACUUCUGGCCCGUGCCCGUCAGUGGCCCCUUCAAAUUCUUGAUCAAGCAUGAUGUCUUAGUUAAAAACUUAAUAGUUAAAACUUUCAACAACGGAUCUCUUGGUUCUG
This 241-nucleotide unclassified non-coding RNA is filed under the name plant metagenome. RNAcentral describes it as "partial contains small subunit ribosomal RNA, internal transcribed spacer 1, and 5.8S ribosomal RNA". The record is from RNAcentral.